Molecule: transfer RNA, 70 nt
Filed under: Nymphalis ladakensis
Lineage: Eukaryota; Metazoa; Arthropoda; Insecta; Lepidoptera; Nymphalidae
Description: Aglais ladakensis tRNA-His
Rfam family: tRNA
About the family: Transfer RNA (tRNA) molecules are approximately 80 nucleotides in length. Their secondary structure includes four short double-helical elements and three loops (D, anti-codon, and T loops).
Source: RNAcentral
ACUUAAAUAAUUUAAAUAAAUAAAAUAUUGAUUUGUGGAGUCAAAAAUAUGAUUAAAAUCAUUUUAAGUC